This 301-nucleotide ribosomal RNA is filed under the name uncultured bacterium. RNAcentral describes it as "partial 16S ribosomal RNA". It matches the Rfam family "Bacterial small subunit ribosomal RNA", at positions 509 to 807 of the family's 1533-position model. The record is from RNAcentral.
CAGUCGCCGCGGUAAUACGAAGGGGGCUAGCGUUGUUCGGAAUUACUGGGCGUAAAGCGCGCGCAGGCGGUCUUCCAAGUCAGUGGUGAAAGCCCGGAGCUCAACUUCGGAACUGCCAUUGAAACUGUGAGACUUGAGUACGAGAGAGGUGAGUGGAAAUCCCAGUGUAGAGGUGAAAUUCGUAGAUAUUGGGAAGAACACCGGUGGCGAAGGCGGCUCACUGGCUCGUAACUGACGCUCAGGCGCGACAGCGUGGGGAUCAAACAGGAUUAGAGACCCCGGUAGUCCCUGUCUCUUAUAC